This 785-nucleotide ribosomal RNA is filed under the name Acinetobacter baumannii. RNAcentral's name for it is "partial 23S ribosomal RNA". It matches the Rfam family "Bacterial large subunit ribosomal RNA", at positions 399 to 1186 of the family's 2925-position model. The record is from RNAcentral. Lineage: Bacteria; Pseudomonadati; Pseudomonadota; Gammaproteobacteria; Moraxellales; Moraxellaceae.
AUAAUGAUGACGAGUAGGGCGAGGCACGUGAAACCUUGUCUGAAUAUGGGGGGACCAUCCUCCAAGGCUAAAUACUCCUGACUGACCGAUAGUGAACCAGUACCGUGAGGGAAAGGCGAAAAGAACCCCUGUGAGGGGAGUGAAAUAGAUCCUGAAACCGCAUGCAUACAAGCAGUGGGAGCACCUUCGUGGUGUGACUGCGUACCUUUUGUAUAAUGGGUCAGCGACUUAUAUUCAGUAGCGAGGUUAACCGUAUAGGGGAGCCGUAGAGAAAUCGAGUCUUAAUAGGGCGUUUAGUUGCUGGGUAUAGACCCGAAACCAGGCGAUCUAUCCAUGAGCAGGUUGAAGGUUGGGUAACACUAACUGGAGGACCGAACCCACUGUCGUUGAAAAGCCAGGGGAUGACUUGUGGAUAGGGGUGAAAGGCUAAUCAAGCCUGGUGAUAGCUGGUUCUCCCCGAAAGCUAUUUAGGUAGCGCCUCGGACGAAUACCAUAGGGGGUAGAGCACUGUUUCGGCUAGGGGGUCAUCCCGACUUACCAAACCGAUGCAAACUCCGAAUACCUAUGAGUACUAUCCGGGAGACAGACUGCGGGUGCUAACGUCCGUAGUCAAGAGGAAAACAAUCCAGACCGCCAGCUAAGGCCCCAAAAUCAUAGUUAAGUGGGAAACGAUGUGGGAAGGCAUAGACAGCUAGGAGGUUGGCUUAGAAGCAGCCACCCUUUAAAGAAAGCGUAAUAGCUCACUAGUCGAGUCGGCCUGCGCGGAAGAUGUAACGGGGCUAAAA